This 783-nucleotide long non-coding RNA is filed under the name Podarcis lilfordi (Lilford's wall lizard). The record is from RNAcentral. Lineage: Eukaryota; Metazoa; Chordata; Lepidosauria; Squamata; Lacertidae.
CACAGACCUUUUGGGACAGAGAGGACAUGGCGCUGGUCUUUCCUGCUCUGCACCAGAUGGGAUGGUUGCAACACUCUCUGUGUGGAACUGCCCUUGAAGGCGACUCGGGAACUGGCCCAAAAUGCAGCAGCCAGAUGAUUGGCUGGGCUGCCUCUCUUUAUGAAGGACUUUCGUCUCCCACCUCUUUGUCCAAAGAGAUCAAGGUGGCAUCCAUGGGUCUACCCUUCCCCACUGAGUCCCCCCACAACAAACAAGUUGGAUUCCUGUUUUAAAACAGUUGCACUGGUUGUUUCCAUUCCAGCAGGACCUCUCCUGCUUUGGAUGCCUUGGCUUGUUAGACCUCCUGCGGUGCUUUCAUAGAACUAUAGAGGUGGAUGGCACCCCAAGGAUCAUCUAGUCCAACCCACAGCAGUCUCAGAGGGCAAACUUGCAUCUGGAGGAACUAAGCACUGGAGGAGAAAAUGGGCCCUUCAGAAUCAGGCCAGAGGGCUGCCUCCUAUAGGGGAGACAGAGAAGAGGAGCCACCCAUCGCCCUCUCCUUCUCCUCCACAGAUUGGCCUCCUCCUCCUCCUUGAUUGGUGGCCUCUGCCUGUUGUGGGAGGGAGUUCCACAGGUUUUACUCUGCCCUGCAAGAGGAAGCACUUUCUCUUCUCUGCCUUCCUUCCUUCCUUCCUUCCUUGCACAGGUGAGGUUUUAGGGACCAGGGUAUAUUUCAUGUCCGGAUGUUUCCAUCUGCGGACAACCUCUGUUAUACAAGGGGACUGAUCCAUACAUCUGAAUGGG